Molecule: non-coding RNA, 183 nt
Filed under: Pseudocolwellia sp. AS88
Lineage: Bacteria; Pseudomonadati; Pseudomonadota; Gammaproteobacteria; Alteromonadales; Colwelliaceae
Description: 6S RNA
Rfam family: 6S / SsrS RNA
About the family: E. coli 6S RNA was the first non coding RNA to be sequenced, but its function was unknown until recently. It consists of 184 nucleotides that fold into an extended hairpin structure with a large single-stranded internal bulge.
Source: RNAcentral
AUGUUUCUGGGGUGUUUGUAUGUUGACUAUGUCCCUGAGCCGAUAAGUUUUAAUUCAGGAAAUUGAUUAAACUCUAUUGUGCAAGCCCGGCUCGUAUCGGGAAGCCUACGGUUUUUAUGAUAUUUCCGCCCUGAGCACCCGGUGUUCAUGGGCUGAAGUUAGCUGCGGCACCUUGGAAACACU